UGGCUCACUGGCCAGCACAUCUACUAAAAUUGAAAUAAUUCAGAGAAGACUAACAUGGCCUCUGUGCAGGAGGACACAAGAAUUCAUGAGCCAUUCCACAUUUAA
Small nuclear RNA from Talpa occidentalis (Iberian mole), 105 nucleotides. The record is from RefSeq and is a predicted model, not a curated record. Lineage: Eukaryota; Metazoa; Chordata; Mammalia; Eulipotyphla; Talpidae.